RNAcentral lists this ribosomal RNA (1464 nucleotides) under Staphylococcus sp. RNAcentral's name for it is "bacterial SSU rRNA". It matches the Rfam family "Bacterial small subunit ribosomal RNA". Lineage: Bacteria; Bacillati; Bacillota; Bacilli; Caryophanales; Staphylococcaceae. The record is from RNAcentral.
GAUGAACGCUGGCGGCGUGCCUAAUACAUGCAGUCGAGCGACAGAUAAGGAGCUUGCUCCUUUGACGUUAGCGGCGGACGGGUGAGUAACACGUGGGUAACCUACCUAUAAGACUGGAAUAACUCCGGGAAACCGGGGCUAAUGCCGGAUAACAUUUAGAACCGCAUGGUUCUAAAGUGAAAGAUGGUUUUGCUAUCACUUAUAGAUGGACCCGCGCCGUAUUAGCUAGUUGGUAAGGUAACGGCUUACCAAGGCAACGAUACGUAGCCGACCUGAGAGGGUGAUCGGCCACACUGGAACUGAGACACGGUCCAGACUCCUACGGGAGGCAGCAGUAGGGAAUCUUCCGCAAUGGGCGAAAGCCUGACGGAGCAACGCCGCGUGAGUGAUGAAGGUCUUCGGAUCGUAAAACUCUGUUAUUAGGGAAGAACAAAUGUGUAAGUAACUAUGCACGUCUUGACGGUACCUAAUCAGAAAGCCACGGCUAACUACGUGCCAGCAGCCGCGGUAAUACGUAGGUGGCAAGCGUUAUCCGGAAUUAUUGGGCGUAAAGCGCGCGUAGGCGGUUUCUUAAGUCUGAUGUGAAAGCCCACGGCUCAACCGUGGAGGGUCAUUGGAAACUGGGAAACUUGAGUGCAGAAGAGGAAAGUGGAAUUCCAUGUGUAGCGGUGAAAUGCGCAGAGAUAUGGAGGAACACCAGUGGCGAAGGCGACUUUCUGGUCUGUAACUGACGCUGAUGUGCGAAAGCGUGGGGAUCAAACAGGAUUAGAUACCCUGGUAGUCCACGCCGUAAACGAUGAGUGCUAAGUGUUAGGGGGUUUCCGCCCCUUAGUGCUGCAGCUAACGCAUUAAGCACUCCGCCUGGGGAGUACGACCGCAAGGUUGAAACUCAAAGGAAUUGACGGGGACCCGCACAAGCGGUGGGAGCAUGUGGUUUUAAUUCGAAGCAACGCGAAGAACCUUACCAAAUCUUGACAUCCUUUGACAACUCUAGAGAUAGAGCCUUCCCCUUCGGGGGACAAAGUGACAGGUGGUGCAUGGUUGUCGUCAGCUCGUGUCGUGAGAUGUUGGGUUAAGUCCCGCAACGAGCGCAACCCUUAAACUUAGUUGCCAGCAUUUAGUUGGGCACUCUAAGUUGACUGCCGGUGACAAACCGGAGGAAGGUGGGGAUGACGUCAAAUCAUCAUGCCCCUUAUGAUUUGGGCUACACACGUGCUACAAUGGACAAUACAAAGGGCAGCUAAACCGCGAGGUCAUGCAAAUCCCAUAAAGUUGUUCUCAGUUCGGAUUGUAGUCUGCAACUCGACUACAUGAAGCUGGAAUCGCUAGUAAUCGUAGAUCAGCAUGCUACGGUGAAUACGUUCCCGGGUCUUGUACACACCGCCCGUCACACCACGAGAGUUUGUAACACCCGAAGCCGGUGGAGUAACCAUUUAUGGAGCUAGCCGUCGAAGGUGGGACAAA